Molecule: long non-coding RNA, 150 nt
Organism: Dermochelys coriacea (leatherback sea turtle)
Lineage: Eukaryota; Metazoa; Chordata; Testudines; Dermochelyidae
Exons: 3
Source: RefSeq, a predicted model, not a curated record
AAUGAUGCAUGCAUACAAAUAGAGUGAAUAUGUUCAGUAGAUCAUAACAGUUACAGAGAUAUGUUACAUGGCAUAUGUAGCAUAAAACAUAUUCCAAUUAUUUCAUAGAUAUAUUCAUAAGUAUAUUUCCAUAAAGCAUUAUGAGGUGCC